AGAGUUUGUUCCUGGCUCAGAAUCAACGCUGCCGGCGUCCUUCACACAUGCAAGUCGAACGCCAAAGCCCCGCAAGGGGUAAGUAGAGUGGCAAACGGGUGAGUAACACGUGGGUGACCUGCCUUCGAGUGGGGGAGAACGUCCCGAAAGGGACGCUAAUACCGCAUGACAUCCUGCCUUUGAACAGGUGGAGAUCAAAGCUGGGGAUCGCAAGACCUAGCGCUCAAAGAGGGGCCCGCGCCUGAUUAGCUAGUUGGUGGGGUAACGGCUCACCAAGGCGACGAUCAGUAUCCGGCGUGAGAGGGGGGGCGGACACACUGGGACUGAGACACGGCCCAGACUCCUACGGGAGGCAGCAGUGGGGAAUUGUUCGCAAUGGGCGCAAGCCUGACGACGCAACGCCGCGUGGAGGAUGAAGUUCUUCGGGUCCAAACUCCUUUCGAUCGAGACGUAUGGUCUCCGGUUGGGCUAGCAGGAGGAAUGUCGUACCGAGGAGAAGUUCGUA
Molecule: ribosomal RNA, 505 nt
Filed under: uncultured soil bacterium
Lineage: Bacteria
Description: bacterial SSU rRNA
Rfam family: Bacterial small subunit ribosomal RNA
Source: RNAcentral